UACAGAGGGGGCAAGCGUUAUUCGGAAUUAUUGGGCGUAAAGGGCGCGUAGGCGGCUUUGCAAGUGACGGGUGAAAUCCCUCGGCUUAACCGAGGAACUGCCUGUCAAACUGCAUGGCUUGAGACCGGGAGAGGUGAGUGGAAUUCCCAGUGUAGCGGUGAAAUGCGUAGAUAUUGGGAAGAACACCAGUGGCGAAGGCGGCUAACUGGUCCAGAUCUGACGCUGAGGUGCGAAAGCGUGGGGAGCAAACAGG
Molecule: ribosomal RNA, 253 nt
Filed under: uncultured bacterium
Lineage: Bacteria
Description: partial 16S ribosomal RNA
Rfam family: Bacterial small subunit ribosomal RNA
Source: RNAcentral